GCCUUAUGUGGCUGAGUGGCAAAGGACAUGUUGGUAGAGAAUGAGGCUCUUAAUCUCAGGGUCAAGGGUUCAAGCCCCAAGUUGGGCA
Molecule: non-coding RNA, 88 nt
Organism: Podarcis lilfordi (Lilford's wall lizard)
Lineage: Eukaryota; Metazoa; Chordata; Lepidosauria; Squamata; Lacertidae
Source: the annotation of a GenBank genome assembly